Molecule: long non-coding RNA, 702 nt
Organism: Dendrobium catenatum
Lineage: Eukaryota; Viridiplantae; Streptophyta; Magnoliopsida; Asparagales; Orchidaceae
Exons: 2
Source: RefSeq, a predicted model, not a curated record
UUUGUUGUAAAACCCGAAAACUGUCGAACGGAUGUAUCGCACGCACUUCGAUGCGCCAAGACGAAUUUAGGCAAAAUUUCGAAGUCGUCGGAAUUCGACACAAUAAAUUUUAUUAAAUUCUACGAGAAAUUUCGAUUGAAAUUGUAUAAAGAACGUAUACUUAAUUUCGCACAGCUUGGAAAUUAAAAAUCGCCGAAGAGGAUUAAAUAAAUUUAGCCCUUUUAUACCUUUUUUGCCCUUCAUGAGAUAAAAGAGAAUUAAUGAGAAGAGGGGAACAUGCGUAAUUUACUGCCUAAUAUUUCCUAAAAUCCCUCAUAAAAUUAGGGACCAAUUCAUUUGGUCCCUUGCCCUUUUAUUUCGGCCGAACGAAGGGAGGCGGGCGGAAACGAGAGAGAGGGCGACGCGAGGGCUUGAUGAGCGGCGGCCGGUGGGUUUCCAAUGGCGGUUUAGAGGAGAAAUCAAAGGCAAAGUCUAAGGAGAAUCCGAUGCAAAGAAUGGCUGACCGCCCUUGGUUCACCUACAGUCGUAGAGGACCAGCUAAUAGGUUCCUCAGAUGUCUUUUUAGUUGUAGUUUACUUCUUUUUUUUGUGGUUUAGCAUGAAUGAUAGAUUUUAAAGCCACCUUUUUAUAUAUGAACUGAUAUAUAAUGAUAUGCAAUGUUUAAUACAGUUUGGAAAAUGUUUAGAGGCGCUUUUAGUUUUC